This 227-nucleotide non-coding RNA is filed under the name Petrocella atlantisensis. RNAcentral describes it as "T-box". It matches the Rfam family "T-box leader". Rfam says of the family: Uncharged tRNA acts as the effector for transcription antitermination of genes in the T-box leader family. T-boxes are found upstream of many aminoacyl-tRNA synthetase genes and some amino acid biosynthetic genes usually in Gram-positive bacteria. The record is from RNAcentral. Lineage: Bacteria; Bacillati; Bacillota; Clostridia; Lachnospirales; Vallitaleaceae.
ACAAAUGCAAUGACGGAGCAAUAGAUAUUUCAUCGUAGGCAUAGAGAAUCGAUGGUUGGUGUAAAUCGAUACUACAGUCAUAUCCAAAUCACUCUUGAGCUUUUUCGCAGAACGAUCAGUAAGUGAAAACGGUAAGCCCCGUUAUAGGCUAAGAUUUGAUAGAAUCUUAUAAGUGGUCGAUAAAACGGCAACUAGGGUGGUACCGCGUGAGUGUUCACGUCCCUACA